AACGAACGCUGGCGGCAGGCCUAACACAUGCAAGUCGAACGCCCCGCAAGGGGAGCGGCAGCCGGGUGAGUACCACGUGGGAACCUUCCCUAUAGUACGGAAUAGCCCAGGGAAACUUGGAGUAAUACCGUAUACGCCCGAAAGGGGAAAGAAUUUCGCUAUAGGAUGGGCCCGCGUAGGAUUAGCUAGUUGGUGAGGUAAUGGCUCACCAAGGCGACGAUCCUUAGCUGGUUUGAGAGAACGACCAGCCACACUGGGACUGAGACACGGCCCAGACUCCUACGGGAGGCAGCAGUGGGGAAUAUUGGACAAUGGGCGCAAGCCUGAUCCAGCCAUGCCGCGUGAGUGAUGAAGGCCUUAGGGUUGUAAAGCUCUUUUGGCGGGGACGAUAAUGACGGUACCCGCAGAAUAAGUCCCGGCUAACUUCGUG
This 430-nucleotide ribosomal RNA is filed under the name uncultured bacterium. RNAcentral describes it as "partial 16S ribosomal RNA". It matches the Rfam family "Bacterial small subunit ribosomal RNA", at positions 29 to 507 of the family's 1533-position model. The record is from RNAcentral.